RNAcentral lists this ribosomal RNA (455 nucleotides) under Bacillus velezensis. RNAcentral's name for it is "bacterial SSU rRNA". It matches the Rfam family "Bacterial small subunit ribosomal RNA", at positions 100 to 541 of the family's 1533-position model. The record is from RNAcentral. Lineage: Bacteria; Bacillati; Bacillota; Bacilli; Caryophanales; Bacillaceae.
GACGGGUGAGUAACACGUGGGUAACCUGCCUGUAAGACUGGGAUAACUCCGGGAAACCGGGGCUAAUACCGGAUGGUUGUUUGAACCGCAUGGUUCAGACAUAAAAGGUGGCUUCGGCUACCACUUACAGAUGGACCCGCGGCGCAUUAGCUAGUUGGUGAGGUAACGGCUCACCAAGGCAACGAUGCGUAGCCGACCUGAGAGGGUGAUCGGCCACACUGGGACUGAGACACGGCCCAGACUCCUACGGGAGGCAGCAGUAGGGAAUCUUCCGCAAUGGACGAAAGUCUGACGGAGCAACGCCGCGUGAGUGAUGAAGGUUUUCGGAUCGUAAAGCUCUGUUGUUAGGGAAGAACAAGUGCCGUUCAAAUAGGGCGGCACCUUGACGGUACCUAACCAGAAAGCCACGGCUAACUACGUGCCAGCAGCCGCGGUAAUACGUAGGUGGCAAGCGU